RNAcentral lists this ribosomal RNA (407 nucleotides) under uncultured bacterium. RNAcentral's name for it is "partial 16S ribosomal RNA". It matches the Rfam family "Bacterial small subunit ribosomal RNA", at positions 30 to 526 of the family's 1533-position model. The record is from RNAcentral.
AUUGAACGCUUGCGGCAGGCCUAACACAUGCAAGUCGAGCGGAGCGGCGGACGGGUGAGUAAUGCAUAGGCAUCUGCCUGGUAGAGGGGGAUAACGUCAGGAAAAGGGCGAUAAGAACGCCAACUAUCAGCUGAGCCUAGGUCGGAUUAGCUAGUUGGGGGGGUAAAGGCCUACCAAGGCGACGAUCCGUAACUGGUCUGAGAGGAUGAUCAGUCACACUGGAACUGAGACACGGUCCAGACUCCUACGGGAGGCAGCAGUGUGGAAUAUUGGACAAUGGGCGAAAGCCUGAUCCAGCCAGGCCGCGUGUGUGAAGAAGGUCUUCGGAUUGUAAAGCACUUUAAGUUGGGAGGCGUUACCAACAGAAUAAGCACCGGCUAACUUCGUGCCAGCAGCCGCGGUAAUUC